This 253-nucleotide ribosomal RNA is filed under the name uncultured bacterium. RNAcentral describes it as "partial 16S ribosomal RNA". It matches the Rfam family "Bacterial small subunit ribosomal RNA", at positions 524 to 776 of the family's 1533-position model. The record is from RNAcentral.
UACGGAGGGAGCUAGCGUUGUUCGGAAUUACUGGGCGUAAAGCGCGCGUAGGCGGCUUUGUAAGUUAGAGGUGAAAGCCCGGGGCUCAACCCCGGAACUGCCUUUGAUACUGCAAAUCUCGAGUCCGAUAGAGGUGGGUGGAAUUCCUAGUGUAGAGGUGAAAUUCGUAGAUAUUAGGAAGAACACCGGUGGCGAAGGCGGCCCACUGGAUCGGUACUGACGCUGAGGUGCGAAAGCGUGGGGAGCAAACAGG